AGUCACCGCUAUUGGAAUACGAUUAAGGCAUGCGAGUCGAGAGUCUUAGGGACUCGGCAGACGGCUCAGUAACACGUAGAUAAUCUGCCCUUAGGUAGGGGAUAACCUCGAGAAAUUGAGAAUAAUACCCUAUAGGUCUAAGAUGCUGGAAUGUUUUUAGAUUGAAAGCUCCGGCGCCUAAGGAUGAGUCUGCGGCCUAUCAGGUUGUAGUGAGUGUAACGGACUCACUAGCCGACGACGGGUACGGGCCCUGAGAGGGGAAGCCCGGAGAUGGACUCUGAGACACGAGUCCAGGCCCCAAGGGGCGCAGCAGCUACGAAAACUUCACAAUGUGGGAAACCGCGAUGAGGGAAUUCCGAGUGCUGCAGUUUAACUGUAGCUGUUUACUUGCCUAAAAAGCAAGUAGAGUAAGGGCUGGGUAAGACUGGUGCCAGCCGCCGCGGUAAUACCAGCAGCCCUAGUGGUGAUCGUUUUUAUUGGGCCUAAAGCGUCCGUAGCCGGUUUGGUAAACCCUUGGGUAAAUCGAGCAGCUUAACUGUUCGAAUUCUGAGGAGACUGCCAGACUUGGGACCGGGAGAAGUUGGAAGUACUUUUGGGGUAGGGGUGAAAUCCUGUAAUCCCAAAAGGACUACCGGUGGCGAAGGCGUCCAACUAGAACGGGUUCGACGGUAAGGGACGAAGCCCUGGGUCACGAACCGGAUUAGAUACCCGGGUAGUCCAGGGUGUAAACGCUGCAGGCUUGGUGUUGGGGGUCCUACGUGGGCGUCCAGUGCCGAAGAGAAGUUGUUAAGCCUGCCGCCUGGGGAGUACGAUCGCAAGAUUGAAACUUAAAGGAAUUGGCGGGGGAGCACAGCAACGGGUGGAGCGUGCGGUUU
Molecule: ribosomal RNA, 875 nt
Filed under: uncultured archaeon
Lineage: Archaea
Description: bacterial SSU rRNA
Rfam family: Archaeal small subunit ribosomal RNA
Source: RNAcentral